AAAGGAUUAAAAUGUCCUUAUUCGUCAGUGGCGGAUCCAGAAAUUUUUGUUUUUCACUGACUGCCUAAGAGGGGGCCCGCUACAGUAAUGCUUCAGUGAUUCCCUACGUAGUCAACUUAAUUUUUCCUAAAAAAUGGGGGACCGGGUACUCCCCCCCCCCUAAAUCCGUCUCUGUUCGUGUGAACACAACAGUUCCAUAGAAAAAAGUUACGGAAGUUUCCUGUCGUGGUGAUUGGGUGAUGUAUAAACAGGUAUGUUAAAUACGUAAUUCCCAAUAACUUUUCAUUGGACAAUCCCAUAUUUUGUUGCUAAAAAUAAACCUGAAAAUCCUAGUUUGUACGUCAUCAGGGUUUACCUAGUAAAUACACAAAGAAGACAGAUUAAUAGAAUAGAUAACGCGUGGAGAUUUGAUCACAAAGAAAUUUAACAAGAACAUGGAUUUGUAAAUGUGGAACAGCAUUAAAACUAAAAACGAAAAGGUAUUUAUCUCCUUUUAUAACAUUUUUGUUUAAAUAAAAUGAAGUUAUUACUGUUCUAUAAUUAUGAUCUAUAUAACCAUAUAUAUAUAUACUAAAAAUAGUUUUUAAAUGGAAAUACCUUGAAAAUUUGUCAAAUAUUCAAGACAAAGGGAUACGACUUAAACAUCAGAAAAAUAUUAUUGAAAGUUCGAGUUACAUGUACUACAUUUAAUUUUUAACAUAAAAGACAAGUUGUGAUCUUGAAAUGCGAAAUUAACCUGAAAGUUUAAAAAAGAUUUGUAAGUUUAAUGUUUGUAUGCUCGAUAACAAAGACAUUUCGGCAGGUGUUUAUCUUGGUUUCUAAACAAAUUUAUUUGUCAUUGUACUGUAUAUGGUGUAAAAAUUUAUAUGAAUACGAGUAAGAUACGAGUAUAAUACAAAACUGUACAUGUUUUUGUUUGUCAUAUUAUUUGAGAGAGAGAGAGAGAGAGAAAGGUAUAUAUUUUUAAUAUGUUUUUUUGUUAUAUUAUUUGAGAAAGAGAGAGGGGGAGAGAAAACUCGGUUAUCCUGAAAGUCGGAGACUUAGACAUACUACAUUGUUAUUAUAAGAACAAGACAAUUAGAUAAUUAAGGGGGAUGUAUAUUUAUUUCCCUCGUACUAAUAUAUUUACCAUUUAUAAAAAUACGUGAAUGAUAAUCAUCUGAAAAUUCACAGAUUUUUAAAAUAUUGUUAAGUAUAGUAGUGUCACGCAAUGCUGUCUAUCAACUAACACGGAAUAAAGAUAAACUAUUGAGGUAUGAUAAUUUACUAAUUAUGAUUGAUAUUUGCGAUUGGUAGAUAAGUUUGGCAUAUUGUAACUAAUAUAUAAUUGUUUUAUUGCUAAUUUUGGCAUGUUUAGUACUCAGUAAUUGUCCCCUAAAGGUUCUAUAGCUAUAAACGCCAUAUUAUUCGUGUUUCCACUCAAAUACAAUCAUUGUACAUUUUGAAAGAAUAUUUACUUUAUACAUUUUAUAAACAAAAAUUGGAGUUUCAAAACUGGUAAUAUAUUAGACAUUACAAGGUUAGAUAUAUUUUGAACACUUUGUCUGUGAUACUUCUUUUUUUACUUGUUAUUCCGUGACACAGGUUUUAUUUGGAAAACGAAAAAAAGUGUCGGUAUAUGUCUUUUUGUACUCGUUAUUCUGUUACAGGUUUUAUUUGUAAAUGAAAAAAAGUUUUGGUAGUUUAUAUAUUAGAUACAUGUACAUGUAGUUUCCUGUUUAAUCAUUCCGUCAUUACGUCUAGACAGUAAAACAUGUUGGUUUCUGUAUAACGGUAAUACUUUUCUGAUACCUUUGCAUACUCCUGUUUCGUAGUUAUUAUAAUUUUCAUGUUUUCGUAGUUAUUAUAAUUUUCAUGUUUUAGUAGUUAUUAUAAUUUUCAUUUAUUUGGAAGAAUUCAAAAUGAUUAAUAUAGAUAAUUAAUUGAAAAAUGAUAAGAGAACGACCAUUUGACUUCAAGUUUGUGAUGUUUUUUUUACUAAAAUAUUAUUCCGAUCCCGAACUUGAUGAUAACAAAUAUUGUAGUCAACCAGAUGACAAAAAAAUCUGAUUUGCCUCCAUACCUCAUAGUGUUGAAUUUUGAGGAAGAAAAAAUUUCUAAAAAAAAUACCAGUAUCCCCCCCCCUUUUAAGUUGAUGGUUGGUAUACAGUGGGAUGGCCUACAGAUUAACAGGCUAACAAUACGAUACAAAUGGCUCGUAUCGGGAUCUAAUUACAUUCGCACCCACACGUUCGCCCCAUAGGCCAGGAAUCUGUCGAUUUGAUUUAUUUAAAAAGAAAAUAAACAGGAAGUGUUCAUUACAAAAUGAAUUGACAAACUAAAUCAAUAAAUCAAAAUAAUUGUAAAAUUUUAGCGAUUUCUGUAAUUUAGUUCUCUUUUUAUUUCGAUAUUACCGCUAUUUCUCCUAUUAGUUCUACAGAAAUUAACAAAAAUGUAUGCUUCUUUCGAAGGCAGAUUGUGAGCGUAAAUGAACGGUGACCCCAUUUUUUUAUUUCAUUUUUCUAUUUAGUAUAAGAUAAAGUUCAUUUAUAGACAAAUAUAGAGAAAUCCUAUAUUAAAUAAAAAAUUUCAUUUAGAUCCGCGAGCCCCCUUAAGUAGUUUUAAAAAGAACAUCAAACAGAUGCAUACAUGUAAUAAUUUUCAAUUAUCACAUUAAGGUGACCGUGUUCUAAAAAUAACAAGAUGUAUUAUAAUUGCCAAUGAAACAACUCUCUACCCAUGCUACCAGUGACCAAAUGUCAUAAAAGUUAACAACUGUCGGUCAUCUUACAGCCUUCAAGAAUGAGCAAAACCCAUACUGCAUGGUCAGAUAUUAAAAGCUUGAAAAGGGCAAAUGUCAAACAAUUCAAAUGAGAAAGUAAUGGCAUGAUUUAUGUUAAAACAAUGAACAAAAUACAAAUGUGACAUACAUUUUGUACAGUAACAAAUGACAUCCACUGAAUUACAGGCUCCUGACAUGACUUUUUUUCAUUAUUAUUUUAAUAAUUGUUAACUUAAGGUUACCAUGGUUAUGUUUGUCAAUAUUUAAGAUUAAGAAUUAGGUCAUAAUCUAACUAACUGUAUGAAAAAGGCAAAUUAAUUAUAUCAAGUCCAAAGAUUCAUUGUCAUUAAAAUAGUAUUUAGGAGUAAUAAGAAACACUAGUCACCUUAGAGCCAGAAUAAUGUGCCUGGGAAUUAUAACUUUGAACCAGAACAAUACGAAUCAUGUUAAGCAUGUCAAUAAAGUACAAAGCAGGGGUCAUGUGACAUGAACAUGUGUUGAUAUGCAUGAUUUCUUUACUACAUUGGUUAGAGGUAUAGGGGGAGGGUUGAGAUCUCACAAACAUGUUUAACCCCGCCGCAUUUUUGCGCCUGUCCCAAGUCAGGAGCCUCUGGCCUUUGUUAGUCUUGUAUUAUUUUAAUUUUAGUUUCUUGUGUACAAUUUGGAAAUUAGUAUGGCGUUCAUUAUCACCCUUGUUAAACUCUUGCUUUACAAAAAGUGGGGGUCAUACUGUUUUACCUCUGUCGAUAUCCAUCUGUCCCAUGAAUAUUUUUCAUGGCAUCUUUCUCAGGAACUACAUCAUAAGGAUUUCUGAAAUUUGGUUGCAGGGUUUAUAUAAGUCAGCUGUACCGUGUGAUGAGUUCUCAAAUUCAUCACUCAGCAACAUGCAGUUUAAAGAACAUUUACAUAUUUUUACAUUAUUAAAAUUGGCCAGUUGUGGUGGUGGGGGGGGGGAUAUCAUCAUUGAGUAGAACUCACAGUUUCACUUGUUUUGACUCAUAAGUUACAUCUAUCAGUGACAAAAUAUUAUAUUUGAUUAACUUUUUACUUUUUCAGGAAGUUUUAAAGCAGAAAAGAGAAAUUGAGACUGCAUUAACCAAUUAUAAAGACAAGAAAUCUAAACAGUAUAAAAAGUUGUGUAAAAAGACAUACAAAGGACAGCCUGUGAUGAAAAAUCAAAGAAAUACUUCUACAUAAAAUUCAAUCUGGAAUUGAUCAAACGUAAUAAAAAUGUAAAAUAAUUCUGUAUGAAAAUAUUUGCCAUGACGUAAGUUUUUUUUUUAGUUUGAAUGUCCCUUCUGUAUUUCUGCCACUCUUUUAGGUGCCUGUUUUCUCCAGAUGAAAUUUCAUUAUAAGUGCAUUGAAGAACAACUAGAUUUUUGUCCCGCCUGUAACAAAAGUAGCAGAAUGCGCGACAUAGGAAUUCAUCCUGGGAGACGGUGUAAGCUAUUUAUUUAAACCAUUAUAUGUCUGAAGGAAAAGAACCUGGAUGCUUCAUACCUUGUAUGCAGAUGGCUACUGUUAUGAGAUUUCUGUCUGUCAUACUUGCAUUGUCUUUGAACUCUAAUCAUGUUAAUUUCUUGGUUCAGCAACUGCUUGAAAACAAAUAUUGUUUUUUUAGGUCAUGUUAAUUUCUUACUUAUAAUGAGUAAUAUGAUAACUGUAUUUGGUAUAUAUGGGUUCAUUGCAAGGAAUACAUGUUUGUCAAUCAGGGUUCACCUGUUCUCAACUUCAUUGGAUUGAUCAGUGGUCAAGGUUAAGUUUACAUGGUCAGGUUCAGACCUCAAAUAGUUUAUGUAAUGUGUCAACUAUAUUUGUUGUAUGGAAUGAUUGCAACGUCUAUAUAUCUGAUUGUCAGGUUUCAUCUAUCUUGACCUCAUUAUCAUGGUUCAUUGGUCAAUGCUAUUUUUUUCUGAUUUGGUCUAUUUGCCAGAUGCUAUAAGCAAAGGUCAACUAUAUUUUGUGAAUAAAGGAUUGUAAGAUGUAUAUGUCGGUCUGGCAUGGUUCAUCUGACCUUGACCCCAUUUUCAUGGUUUAUUAGUCAAUGUAAGUUUCAUGAUUAUUUUUGUUUUUCAGAUACUGUAAGUUAUAGGUAAAUUAUAUUUGGUGUAUGCUAUAACUGCAUGUUGUACAUGUUUUAUUCUGGCAGGUACUGUCUGACCUUGACCUCAUUUUCCUGGUUCGUUGGUCAAUGUUCAAUUUUCGUAAUUAGGGCUGUUUCCUAGAUACCAUAAGCAAUUUGUUAACUAUAUUUGGUGUAUGGUAAGAUUGUAAGGUAUAUGUUUGUCUUGUUUUAUCUGACCUUGACUACAGAUUACAAUUUGUACAAAAUUCGACAAUUUUGUUAUAAAAAAAGCAUAAACCAACAACUUUAUGGAUACCCUGACUCAUGAGAGCAUGUCGACAGGAUGACCAUUUUGAAUUUGUUCAAAGGGAAAGAUGUCAUCAAAGUAUACACCAAACUUUAAUUAUGCAACGAUUCUUCAUACCUUUUAUAGCAGAACAUAAAGUAAAAGGGUAAAAUGCCAGCAUCUGAUUAUCCUUUCCGAUAAGUUCUAUGCAGUCUGUUUUAUAGGAAAAAACAGUUCAAUAGAAAACGAGUUCAAAUAAGAAUGUUGUUUUGAAAAACUCCUCCACUAAAUAUGUUGUCCGUAAAAUGAUAAGACACUCAAUAACUGUUGAUCAUACGAGUUAAAGAGAGCUUUUUCCGACACACAUCUUGGGUUCGCAAUGCAUGCAACAGUAAUCUGGUAUUCAGUCUAAAGAUGCAUCCCUUAGUUGUUCCAACAGUUCUUGGGUUUUUAGUAUUGAACUUGAAUUUUAUGUACAUGUACAUAAUUGCAGUGUCCAACAUCGAUCAUUGGAUGAAAUAAGCGUAAUUGUAUGCGAAAACAUACCACAACAUGACCGGAUACAUCUUGUUUUACUUAGGAACCUGACCAAAAAAACUUAUCAGGUAAAAGAUCACAAAGUUUCAUGGUUUCUUGAUCAUCAUACGCCAAUUUCAACAGAUCGCACUGCAACAAGAUCAACUGCACAUGGUUGUUUCUUUUCACACAGCCAAAUGUUGGUUUGGUGGCGCUGCUGGCUGUUUCGCUGUUUCGUCUUGCUUAUAGUUUAUUGUGUACUACUUGGUGUAAUGUAACUCUACUGUAGUACUUUAGCCUCCAACACCAACUUAUUAAAUAAUCGCAAUUAGAUCCUCAUCGGAAGCAGUAAUUUACAACCAUACUGCAAGAAUAAACUGUCAUCAGUACCCAUCCUGUAAAUGCUCCUGAUCAAAUAUUCGGCGUUAGGCGUUCCUGAUGAAGGUACAUUAAAAAAAAACGUAUGGGACGCAUGAAAUUAAUAAAGGUUGUUUUCUUUUUUACAGCAUUGUUCCAUUCCACUGGUGUUAGACUAUCAGUCCACGAAGGAGUCGUCAGCUCAUAAGUCAGUACUUCGGAACUGAAAUGAUUUAUAAAAAUUUCUUUUAAAUUGUCUGUUUAUAAAUCUAAAUAUUAUAAAAAAAAAAACC
RNAcentral lists this long non-coding RNA (6278 nucleotides) under Mytilus galloprovincialis (Mediterranean mussel). Lineage: Eukaryota; Metazoa; Mollusca; Bivalvia; Mytilida; Mytilidae. The record is from RNAcentral.